This 250-nucleotide long non-coding RNA is filed under the name Olea europaea (common olive). RNAcentral describes it as "long non-coding RNA (OEUR_LNC002456)". The record is from RNAcentral. Lineage: Eukaryota; Viridiplantae; Streptophyta; Magnoliopsida; Lamiales; Oleaceae.
AAUUCUCAGCCCAACUAAUCCAGCAGCUCAUUUUUCGCUGUAUACGAACUGAAAAGGCCAGCGAAAUAUGGUUUAAAGUGCAAGGCCACUUAGCCAGGUUUGGCCUGCAAGAGUAUGCUCUUGUCACGGGUUUAAUGUGUGGUCCUCUUCCAGAUGACGCCGCGAUGGACCGAGUUCUACAAAAGAAGAGGUUGAAGAAUAAAUACUUCAAAUCAACGGACAGGAUUUCGUGUGGCGAACUUGAGAAGGC